UUCCGAUACUCUUUUUGCAACUUUCUGGAGAAUUUUACGUUAUUUCUUCAGAAGUUUCUAGUUUUAAUAUGUGCAGCAACCGCGGGGAAGUUUCUGUGGUGAAUUCGUGCCGUUUUCUGGAUGUUCUGAGGAGAAAAAGCGGGUUUUCUGACCAGAUGAAUUUUGGACGGGAGAACAAAAUGGCGAGACUGGAAGUUGGCCGCACGGAGACUCGUUCAUACAAGGGUCGAGAGAAGCUGUAGGCGAAAUUGACGAACGGUCGGCGUGGUGUUGCAAAACUCGUCCUUGCAUUUUGGAGAGAGGACAAAAUGGCGAAACUGCAUGUGGAUAUUCGUUCAUACAAGACACAGCAUCGCUGCAGACUCCAGCCUUCUGUCCAGACUGCUGCAAUCGCGUUUCUGACGUCACGUCCUGGAAGCUGCAGUGGACGGGUCCAUUCCAUGGACAAGGCUGACAGAGUGAGCCAAAAAUUUGGGGUAAGCUGUUCGAUACAACAUCAGUGUUGACCCCAGCCUCUUGUCCGGGGCAAAUGAUUCAGAGAAGAGUGAAGAGUCUCUUGUCAAGAAGUUAAGUUGUUC
Long non-coding RNA from Branchiostoma belcheri (Belcher's lancelet), 578 nucleotides. RefSeq lists it as uncharacterized. The transcript is spliced from 4 exons. NCBI's taxonomy places the organism in Eukaryota, Metazoa, Chordata, Leptocardii, Amphioxiformes, Branchiostomatidae. The record is from RefSeq and is a predicted model, not a curated record.